GAUGAAGAACGCAGCGAAAUGCGAUAAGUAGUGUGAAUUGCAGAAGUACCGUGAAUCAUCGAAUCUUUGAACGCAAAUUGCACUCUCUGGUAUUCCGGGGAGUAUGCCUGUUUGAGGGUCGCUUAACAAACCAUCGAUUUCGUUGCUUUUUUUUUUUAAAGUGAUGUUUAUCGGAUUUGAGCCGUCUUUUUUUUUAUAUUUAAGUGGCUUAAAAUUGAUUUUUUUGGUACGAUCGAAGCGUAUUUUUAUGAUCAAUUUUUGGUUAAAGAAACGCACACGUACCGUUAUUUAUAUGAUGUAAUACGUUUGACUAUUGGAUUUAGUUCAUUCGUAUACGAUAUCUUUCAAUAUUUGACCUCAAAUCAGGUAAGAACACCCGCUGAACUUAAGCAUAUCAAUAAGCGGAGGA
RNAcentral lists this unclassified non-coding RNA (409 nucleotides) under soil metagenome. RNAcentral describes it as "partial contains 5.8S ribosomal RNA, internal transcribed spacer 2, and large subunit ribosomal RNA". The stretch from base 1 to 121 matches the Rfam family "5.8S ribosomal RNA", at positions 35 to 154 of the family's 154-position model. The record is from RNAcentral.